RNAcentral lists this transfer RNA (69 nucleotides) under Sabethes undosus. Its description in RNAcentral is "tRNA-Gln". It matches the Rfam family "tRNA". From Rfam's summary of the family: Transfer RNA (tRNA) molecules are approximately 80 nucleotides in length. Their secondary structure includes four short double-helical elements and three loops (D, anti-codon, and T loops). Further hydrogen bonds mediate the characteristic L-shaped molecular structure. tRNAs have two regions of fundamental functional importance: the anti-codon, which is responsible for specific mRNA codon recognition, and the 3' end, to which the tRNAs corresponding amino acid is attached (by aminoacyl-tRNA synthetases). tRNAs cope with the degeneracy of the genetic code in two manners: having more than one tRNA (with a specific anti-codon) for a particular amino acid; and 'wobble' base-pairing, i.e. permitting non-standard base-pairing at the 3rd anti-codon position. The record is from RNAcentral. RNAcentral also lists the same sequence under 1 other name. Lineage: Eukaryota; Metazoa; Arthropoda; Insecta; Diptera; Culicidae.
UAUAUUUUAGUGUAUGAUGCACAAAAGUUUUUGAAGCUUUUAGUAGUAGUUUAAUUCUAUUAAAUAUAA